Molecule: long non-coding RNA, 2653 nt
Filed under: Homo sapiens (human)
Lineage: Eukaryota; Metazoa; Chordata; Mammalia; Primates; Hominidae
Description: HSALNT0096659
Source: RNAcentral
CAUGCCUUCCUGGGGUGAGGACGCUGCCAGGCUCCCAGCUCUGGAGUCACCGCCCCGUGCUAGGGGCAAGAACAGGUACCUGGGUUUCUGUACUAAUAUUGCACCCUGAAUUUUGAGAAAUAUUUAUAAGCACCUACUAACUUCAUGAGGAAAAUACCUUUGUCCAAGUGAUCAACUGUUAAAUUUAUAUCCCUCUACCUAUCAAUGAUAUAUUAAUCUGUUUUUUAAAAAAAGGCAGAAAAAGACAAAAAAUGGAAAAGUAAAAUGGGCAAGAGAUUUCUUACUUUUUCCUUCGCACUUUCUGGUAUUUCCCAGUUUUUCUAAAACUAGCAUAUACUAUUUUAAAAUUAUAGGUCAAUAAUAAUACAUGAAUGUGCUUUCCUUGUAAGAAAUUAAGACAUUCCAGAUAAGGCUAAAAAGUCCCUGUUGACCUCUAAUCCUGGAUUCCUCCCUCAUACCUAGAGAAAAUGUCUGUUAAAUAUUGGUAUGCUUUUUUUUUUCUAGAUCUUUUUCAAUGCAGAGUUAUUUGUGGUUUAUAUCUAUGGCAUCAUGUGUGUCUUGUCCUAAAACUUUUUAAAGCUCAAUAUUGUAUCUUUCACUAUUUUUUAUCUUGGUAUGUGCAAAACUACUUUAUCAGCUUAUUCUUUUUACCUGCUUCAGAGUUUUCCAUGAGAAUGGACAUUCCACAGUUUAUACAGCCUUUCCUCUAUGAUGGCCAUUAGGCAUCUUUCCUUUUUUUUUUUGGCAAUUAGUAGUCUUCUUUCAUUGAGAAGAAUUGGUAUGUCAUUUAAAAAUUUAAUUCUAGCUUCCUAAACUAAAAAAACUCCAGAAAGCUCAUGCCUCAUUCUAAUCUCAGAAAGCACUGUCUAGGCUUGGAGAUCUCCCCAGCUGUCUAAGUAGAAAGCAGAAUGAGGACUUCAGUGAGCCUAAUCCCUGCUCUGUGUUCCCCAUCCUUCCCCGACCCCUAGCCCCCAAGGACUGGGAUCAAUAUUGGAAACCUGUGCUUUAGUUCUUCCACCUCUGCUGCUGCUAUGCUGUGUGACCUCAGUGAUACAUGUGAGUGACCACCCAGACGGUGCCUGAGGAAGUGGUCCUUUCCUUGCGGCCCCCAUCAAUAGUCUGCCUCUGGAUUCUGAACAGGGGAAGCUGAAUUGAUGGUCUCUGAGUCACAGUUCCUCAUGAAAAGAGGUGCUUAACAGGAGACACUCGGGGACUGAGGCUUCAGGGACCCACCCCCCCCCGCCACCCCGCCCCACCUCCACUGUUCUGGUGCCCCUGAGGCCUUCAGAAGUUGUUCCUAUUUAUCCCUACGACUUCUGAGGGCUACGUUGCUAUAGCAACCUGGGUCUGCUGAUCUGUGUAAAAAACUUAUCAAUUAGCUGUCUGGAGAGUCCAUUUAAGGGGUAACAGAGAAGCAAUUACUCCUUAUAGAGGAAGCGCAAACAGUCCCCAUUUCAGAGCCUCUCAGGGAGAGUCUGAGAAUGGCAGGUCCAAGUCACUCAUUUUAGGGACGGGGGCACUGAGGGAUGAAAUGAACUGGUUCAUCCCAAGUCACAAAGACAAUUAGAGGCAAGGCAUCCUUUCUGGCUCUGAUUCAGAAGCUCCAUUAUCUCUCUACCUUUGUUCCAGGCUUCUCCUUUCCCCUCCCGUCUAUUCUCCAAGCACCUAUUGCCUCCAAGAUGGGCUCUAGACUGUAAGAGCCUUGUCCUUCACUCUCCCAGUAGCCCCCAGGCCUUUGAAAACAGCCAGGCAGACCCCCUCACCUGCUGCUCACAUGGCAUCCUGUGGUGGCCCACGAAGCCCCAGUGACCUGCUGCCUGGCUGCCUCCCUCCACGGCUCUAACCUCUGUCCCCUUGGCACCAGCUCACUAUGAGGUCCUCCCUAUUCCUUAAGACCAAGCUCCAGCCUCUUCAAAAACAGCACAUCUCUCUCUGACACAGCCACUCUCCCUUUAUCCUGUGUAUUCCUUCACAGCUCCCCUCCCCAUCUGCAACCACACUCUGAUUGUUACGACUUUGCUCGUUCCCCUCUCUGGAAUAAAAAUGGUAAAACUCUGUCUCUUGGACUGGGCCGACUGGGAGCACCAUGUGGAGAACAGAGACAAACUGGAGUGCCUUGGGGAGGAAGGAGGAGAGCACAGUCUCUGAGUCAGCCAUGAGGCAGAGCAAAUACAAGUGGUCAUGCAGGAAGAAGAGUGCUGGUUCUGCGGGGUCCUAAGAGGGAGAUGUACGGGGGGUGUGCUUUGUUCAAUAUGACAACACUACCAAUGGUUUAGUUCUUACUGCAUGAGCUUUACAUGUGGUGUAUCUUUCUGGCCUUGAAACUAUCCUGCAGGGUAAAACAACUGUCCCCCAUCAUAAGAAAUGAAGGUAACAGUGCAUGUUCUCCCCUCAGCCUGGGACAGCUUCACCAGGCAAAUUCCUGCUCAUUCUCCAGGCCAUCUCCCCAGAGAAGUCCUUCCUCAACCUCAAGAACACAUCGAGUUCUCUGUCUUCUGUUCCCACAGGACCCUGCAGUCACCCCUCCUAGCUCUUGCUGUAACAGUAGACACAUGAUUUCGGUGUAAAUAUGGACAGGACAGGAGGCAGGGCUGGACACUGCUACAUGCCCCAGAACAGUGCCUGUCCUAUGAUAUCCAAGGAAUAAUUAUCU